AACUGAUACUACCUGCGGGAACCUGCGGAGGGAUCAUUACUGAACAAAAUUGGUUAGAUUGCUGCUGGCUUUUUCUUAAGAGCAUGUGCACGUCUGAUCUAUUUUUUCCGACCCCUGUGCACCUUGUGUAGACUUGGUUUGAGAAUUGCUGCGCUGUGCAAGCCAGCUCUUCUUGUUUGUUUCAGGUCUAUGUUUUUUUACAUAUGCUCUAUUAUUAGAAUAAACGAACGAACGAACGAA
RNAcentral lists this unclassified non-coding RNA (240 nucleotides) under soil metagenome. RNAcentral describes it as "partial contains 5.8S ribosomal RNA, internal transcribed spacer 2, and large subunit ribosomal RNA". The record is from RNAcentral.